AUGGGCAUAGUUCAGUGGCACAGCAUCUGUCUGGCAAGCACAAGGUCCUGAGUUCAAUUCUUAGCACCAACA
RNAcentral lists this transfer RNA (72 nucleotides) under Cavia porcellus (domestic guinea pig). It matches the Rfam family "tRNA". From Rfam's summary of the family: Transfer RNA (tRNA) molecules are approximately 80 nucleotides in length. The record is from Rfam by way of RNAcentral. Lineage: Eukaryota; Metazoa; Chordata; Mammalia; Rodentia; Caviidae.